This 842-nucleotide ribosomal RNA is filed under the name Staphylococcus aureus. RNAcentral's name for it is "partial 23S ribosomal RNA". It matches the Rfam family "Bacterial large subunit ribosomal RNA", at positions 1 to 839 of the family's 2925-position model. Lineage: Bacteria; Bacillati; Bacillota; Bacilli; Caryophanales; Staphylococcaceae. The record is from RNAcentral.
AGAUUAAGUUAUUAAGGGCGCACGGUGGAUGCCUUGGCACUAGAAGCCGAUGAAGGACGUUACUAACGACGAUAUGCUUUGGGGAGCUGUAAGUAAGCUUUGAUCCAGAGAUUUCCGAAUGGGGAAACCCAGCAUGAGUUAUGUCAUGUUAUCGAUAUGUGAAUACAUAGCAUAUCAGAAGGCACACCCGGAGAACUGAAACAUCUUAGUACCCGGAGGAAGAGAAAGAAAAUUCGAUCCCCUUAGUAGCGGCGAGCGAAACGGGAAGAGCCCAAACCAACAAGCUUGCUUGUUGGGGUUGUAGGACACUCUAUACGGAGUUACAAAGGACGACAUUAGACGAAUCAUCUGGAAAGAUGAAUCAAAGAAGGUAAUAAUCCUGUAGUCGAAAAUGUUGUCUCUCUUGAGUGGAUCCUGAGUACGACGGAGCACGUGAAAUUCCGUCGGAAUCUGGGAGGACCAUCUCCUAAGGCUAAAUACUCUCUAGUGACCGAUAGUGAACCAGUACCGUGAGGGAAAGGUGAAAAGCACCCCGGAAGGGGAGUGAAAUAGAACCUGAAACCGUGUGCUUACAAGUAGUCAGAGCCCGUUAAUGGGUGAUGGCGUGCCUUUUGUAGAAUGAACCGGCGAGUUACGAUUUGAUGCAAGGUUAAGCAGUAAAUGUGGAGCCGUAGCGAAAGCGAGUCUGAAUAGGGCGUUUAGUAUUUGGUCGUAGACCCGAAACCAGGUGAUCUACCCUUGGUCAGGUUGAAGUUCAGGUAACACUGAAUGGAGGACCGAACCGACUUACGUUGAAAAGUGAGCGGAUGAACUGAGGGUAGCGGAGAAAUUCCAAUCGAACC